CAGUCGCCACGGUAAUACGGAGGAUCCAAGCGUUAUCCGGAAUCAUUGGGUUUAAAGGGUCCGUAGGCGGUCUUGUAAGUCAGUGGUGAAAGCCCAUCGCUCAACGGUGGAACGGCCAUUGAUACUGCAGGACUUGAAUUAUUGGGAAGUAACUAGAAUAUGUAGUGUAGCGGUGAAAUGCUUAGAGAUUACAUGGAAUACCAAUUGCGAAGGCAGGUUACUACCAAUUGAUUGACGCUGAUGGACGAAAGCGUGGGUAGCGAACAGGAUUAGAGACCCCGGUAGUCCCUGUCUCUUAUAC
Molecule: ribosomal RNA, 301 nt
Filed under: uncultured bacterium
Lineage: Bacteria
Description: partial 16S ribosomal RNA
Rfam family: Bacterial small subunit ribosomal RNA
Source: RNAcentral